This 465-nucleotide ribosomal RNA is filed under the name uncultured bacterium. RNAcentral's name for it is "partial 16S ribosomal RNA". It matches the Rfam family "Bacterial small subunit ribosomal RNA", at positions 330 to 792 of the family's 1533-position model. The record is from RNAcentral.
GCCAGACUCCUACGGGAGGCAGCAGUGAGGAAUAUUGGUCAAUGGACGAGAGUCUGAACCAGCCAAGUCGCGUGAGGGAUGACGGCCCUACGGGUUGUAAACCUCUUUUGCCGGGGAGCAACGGGCGCCACGUGUGGCGCCACUGAGAGUACCCGGAGAAAAAGCAUCGGCUAACUCCGUGCCAGCAGCCGCGGUAAUACGGAGGAUGCGAGCGUUAUCCGGAUUUAUUGGGUUUAAAGGGUGCGUAGGCGGCGUGUUAAUAAAGUGGUCAAAUGGGGGGACCAACCCCCUCCCCGCCAUUGAAACUGGCGCUCUUGAGUGGAAGAGAAGUAUGCGGAAUGCGUGGUGUAGCGGUGAAAUGCAUAGAUAUCACGCAGAACCCCGAUUGCGAAGGCAGCAUACCGGCGCCCUACUGACGCUGAGGCGCGAAAGUGCGGGUAUCGAACAGGAUUAGAUACCCCAGUA